Molecule: long non-coding RNA, 535 nt
Filed under: Gossypium barbadense (sea-island cotton)
Lineage: Eukaryota; Viridiplantae; Streptophyta; Magnoliopsida; Malvales; Malvaceae
Description: long non-coding RNA (GBAR_LNC016754)
Source: RNAcentral
UUUUAUUUCGUUUCUUCUCAUUUCUAUCUUCUCUAUUUCGUUUCUUCUCCUUUCUAUAUUAUUUUCUUCUUCUUCCUCUUCUUCUUCUUCUUCUUCUUCUUCUUCUUCUUCUCCCUAUUCCUCUUCUUCUAACCUUAGUCGCUGCCACCAUGAGUUGCCAUCAUCCAUGGCCUUCUCCGAUCGAUUCAACCAUCAAAACACUUCUCUCUUCCUCGUCUUCUCAAAUCUUGCCUUGUAUUUCUAAGAAAAUCUCUUUAAAGCCAAAAAAAAUCAAAGCUUGAUCCUUGAGCUUUUGAAAUUAUACUCUCCACUUGCUGAUGAAAGGCUAAGGAGGCUUCUGGUGAGGUUGAAAGUGAGUUGAGGAGCCAACGGAGGCAAUAGCAGCGCCAUUUCCAAGGCAACAAUAGAGAAUCGGUUUUCUUGGAGCCUAGUAGAAGUUCUUUAGGUUAUGGAGUUAAGGGUCAACAAAUUCAAGGGAAGAAUUGCCCCUAUUGUUAAUUGGGUCUAUAGGAUUUUUAGGGUUUUCUAAAUUCUG